CCUGAUUAUUUUUGGAGGUUAAAUACCACAUAAAAAGCUACACAUAUCAACCUUUAGAACACAAAACACAUUACAUAUGACCGAGAUAUAAGGCCUGACAUUUGCCAAAAAAAUAUUUCUGGACACUUAGAAUAUUUUCUGGGUUUGAAAAACAGCCGGUCAAUGCUGGUCAACCCACUUUGACCGCUUAGAAAUACCGAUCUACAAUAGAUAUAGACCUGAUUCCUUUUGGAGUUUAAAGUCCACAUAACAAGCUACACCUAACAACUUUUAAAAAACAAAAAAAGUAAAUAAUCACAUAGAUAUAAGUCUUGACAUUUGUCCAAAAAUCACAGAAUUCGGUUUUUCCAACUUGUUUAAAUCUUCAAAUUCGUGCACUUUGAUGUUAUGGGUUCAUGAUUUUACAACCCAGAACAUUAAUAGACUCUCUAUUACACUACUUUAAACAAUCAAUUGCAUCAAUUAACAUCGAAUCGAAGGAUUUCUAGAAUUUAGGAU
This 498-nucleotide long non-coding RNA is filed under the name Panax ginseng (ginseng). Its description in RNAcentral is "long non-coding RNA (PGIN_LNC005673)". Lineage: Eukaryota; Viridiplantae; Streptophyta; Magnoliopsida; Apiales; Araliaceae. The record is from RNAcentral.